RNAcentral lists this ribosomal RNA (759 nucleotides) under Micrococcaceae bacterium. RNAcentral's name for it is "bacterial SSU rRNA". It matches the Rfam family "Bacterial small subunit ribosomal RNA", at positions 54 to 825 of the family's 1533-position model. Lineage: Bacteria; Bacillati; Actinomycetota; Actinomycetes; Micrococcales; Micrococcaceae. The record is from RNAcentral.
CAUGCAAGUCGAACGAUGAUCCGGUGCUUGCACCGGGGAUUAGUGGCGAACGGGUGAGUAACACGUGAGUAACCUGCCCUUAACUCUGGGAUAAGCCUGGGAAACUGGGUCUAAUACCGGAUAUGACUCCUCAUCGCAUGGUGGGGGGUGGAAAGCUUUUUGUGGUUUUGGAUGGACUCGCGGCCUAUCAGCUUGUUGGUGAGGUAAUGGCUCACCAAGGCGACGACGGGUAGCCGGCCUGAGAGGGUGACCGGCCACACUGGGACUGAGACACGGCCCAGACUCCUACGGGAGGCAGCAGUGGGGAAUAUUGCACAAUGGGCGGAAGCCUGAUGCAGCGACGCCGCGUGAGGGAUGACGGCCUUCGGGUUGUAAACCUCUUUCAGUAGGGAAGAAGCGAAAGUGACGGUACCUGCAGAAGAAGCGCCGGCUAACUACGUGCCAGCAGCCGCGGUAAUACGUAGGGCGCAAGCGUUAUCCGGAAUUAUUGGGCGUAAAGAGCUCGUAGGCGGUUUGUCGCGUCUGCCGUGAAAGUCCGGGGCUCAACUCCGGAUCUGCGGUGGGUACGGGCAGACUAGAGUGAUGUAGGGGAGACUGGAAUUCCUGGUGUAGCGGUGAAAUGCGCAGAUAUCAGGAGGAACACCGAUGGCGAAGGCAGGUCUCUGGGCAUUAACUGACGCUGAGGAGCGAAAGCAUGGGGAGCGAACAGGAUUAGAUACCCUGGUAGUCCAUGCCGUAAACGUUGGGCACUAGGUGUGG